This 253-nucleotide ribosomal RNA is filed under the name uncultured bacterium. Its description in RNAcentral is "partial 16S ribosomal RNA". It matches the Rfam family "Bacterial small subunit ribosomal RNA", at positions 524 to 776 of the family's 1533-position model. The record is from RNAcentral.
UACAGAGGUCCCAAGCGUUGUUCGGAUUCACUGGGCGUAAAGGGUGCGUAGGUGGCAGUGUAAGUCUGAUGUGAAAGCUUCGAGCUUAACUCGAAAAUGGCAUUGGAUACUAUAUUGCUGGAGGUUUGGAGGGGGGACUGGAAUUCUCGGUGUAGCAGUGAAAUGCGUAGAUAUCGAGAGGAACACCGGUGGCGAAGGCGAGUCCCUGGACAACACCUGACACUGAGGCACGAAGGCCAGGGGAGCAAACGGG